This is a long non-coding RNA of Astatotilapia calliptera (eastern happy), 1878 nucleotides long. The record is from Ensembl. NCBI's taxonomy places the organism in Eukaryota, Metazoa, Chordata, Actinopteri, Cichliformes, Cichlidae.
AUGCACAAACCUACGUUGCACUGUAAUGCAAAAACACAGUCAUUCAUAAGUCAAAUAUAUUUCUUUAUAACAAUUACUGUUGUUUUAAUAUUUUCUAAAACAUUUUACCAUUACAUUUUGUUUUUUUCAGUCUGUGUUCAUGUGUCAGGAUAGACGAAUGCUUCCACAUUCAGAGGUUUCUUCCUGUCAAUCACUUCUGGUUUGCUGAAGACAAUUAAUCCAAUCCAAUUUUAUUUAUAAAGCACUUUAAAAUACCCAGCACAGGAACAAAGUGCUGUACAGAAAAUAAGUUAAAACAAUAGAAUAACAGAAAACAGCAAAAUAAAUAAAUAAAACACAUAAAAUAUAAAAUUAAAACAGCCCUAUAUUAAAACAAAAACAAGAUAAAACAGCAUCGAAUCACCUAAAAACAACAGAAAUAAAAAUAAAAUCAAAGGCCAGGGUAAAGAGGUGGGUUUUCAAGAGUGACUUAAAAACAGAUAAAGAACUGGCCUGUCUAAUCUCUAAAGGAAGCUCGUUCCACAGUUUGGGAGCUGCUACAGCAAAAGCACGAUCUCCUCUAAGUUUACACCCAGUCCUGGGUAUCUUCAGGAGCAGCUGAUCAGCUGACCUGAGAGAGCGGGUGGGUGUAUAAGGCUGUAGCAGCUCAGAGAGAUAAGAUGGAGCUAGGCCAUGGAGAGCUUUAAAACAAUAAAGCUGUGUGUUUUGAAUUACUUCCGCCUCAGUGAGUCCUGCAUUUUGGGUCCUCUCUUCCUGCCUGCCUACACACAGACAUGACACUUUGACCUCCAGGGAGUGCUGAGGAGGGUCUAACAUGAAGUCACAGCCGUGCUCUCCUGACAAGAUGUGGCUCAUCUUCUCACAUUUGUACAGCUUUUGGGAUGUCAGGGUGCUGCACUCAUCAAUGCAUUUGACUUCAUCAACUUCAACUUCGUCUUCAGGUGAUCCAGGUGAUUGAUAUAUGUAUUUUUUAUCUGCUUAUUUUGUUGUUUUUUGCCCUUUAUUCCCGUCCCUCUUCUCCGCUGUUUUUCUUUCCCUCUUUCUUUCUCCCCUUCUUUCCCCCAGUCAAGUCUGUCUCGUAUUUAGCAAGUGAAAAUAAAAUAAACAAUAAAAGUUGAAUCAAAUAGACCAUUGCGGCAAGGCUGGGAUGGUCAAUUUGGUAAAGUAAAUCCGUUGGGCAUCUUUCUUUGCCUUUAGACAAUAAUUCUGAUGGAAAAAGAACCAAAUGGGACAGGCAAAAAAAAAAAAAAAAAAGAAAAAAAAAAAGAAAAUAUACCCAACAGAUGUUAAUUUGCAUGUUACAUUCAUGAUACAGUUCUGUGCAAGUACGUCUAAUGUCAUUAUAGAUUAUUUAGAAAAUGUGAAACUGGUGAUUCAUUGUAAUGUGUAAAAAUACAUGGACGCACAGGAAACAAGGCAAAGAGAGAGGUUGUGUGUCCAGUUUAUUGUGAGUCAUUCAUAUUUUAUUUAUUGUUAUCAUUUAUUUUUAUUAGUUAAAUAAAAUGACGUCUGUGAACAAGCGAGAUGAAGAGGAUUUGAACUUUACUGUUACUGCAGUUUGUAUAGAGACAUGAGGGAAACAAUGCAAGGAGGAAAUGUUUCGAUUUAAGCAGGAUGAUGACAGCGAUGCUGAUCAGGUGAUGACACACAAGAAAAUGUCACUGCAGCUAAGGAGCCUCCGAGAAACUAGCUCACCCAAAACCUGCUGAACUGCAUUCCAGUUUACAGUCCAUUUGCGUGUGUCAGAGGUAAUUAAUAUUUCCACAUUCAGAGAUUCUUCCUGUCAGUCGACUCUGGAUUUUGUAAACACAGUUAAUAAUGAGAAAAAAAAAAGUCCAUGUUGAGUUUUCAUGUUCUCCUGGGUUCUCUCCAACUUCC